This 389-nucleotide long non-coding RNA is filed under the name Serinus canaria (Common canary). RNAcentral's name for it is "lncRNA (ENSSCAG00000014516.1)". The record is from RNAcentral. Lineage: Eukaryota; Metazoa; Chordata; Aves; Passeriformes; Fringillidae.
UGCAGGUGCAGGGAGAAUAUUUGUCAUUGAAGCUCUACAGCAGAAACAGUUCCAUGACAGUGGCAUCACUGAAGGGGACAGCUGUUACUGCUGUGGGAGAUCAAGAGCUCCUUCCAGUUGCAUCUUCUGUGUCAUCUGCAAAACCCCCAGUUACAAUCCCCAGUGUGCUGGCUGCAGAGAGGCCACCUUGUCAACUGGGAUCCCAUCAAGUGCUCUGAGCUCCUGUCCCUCCAUCAGAACUGAAGAGGUGCAGCAUGGCUCACAACUGCCUGCAGUGUAUCAAGUACCUAAUGUUUGUUUUCAACCUUCUCUUCUGGGUGAGUACACUUUUGGAACCGUGAAACGGUUUUUGUGUCUGUUUACUGAGGUGGAAGAUGAACUUGUUGCUG